Non-coding RNA from Paramuricea clavata, 252 nucleotides. NCBI's taxonomy places the organism in Eukaryota, Metazoa, Cnidaria, Anthozoa, Malacalcyonacea, Plexauridae. The record is from the annotation of a GenBank genome assembly.
UGCUUUAAAAUACAACGUGUAUCAACGUGCAAUCUCAACAAUCGGUUAUAGACAAUCGGAAAUAUAGAUAAUUUCUAUCGAUUCCGAUUGUCUACCGAUAAGGCAAAAAUGGGUCCGAUACCGAUUAUCGGUAACUAUGGUUAAUCACUACAUAAAGUACAUGUUUCUGAAAGGUAUUCUUUCAGUAACCUGAAACCCAGAGCCUGAAACCACGAGUUAGAACAAGAAAGACGACAAAUGCGUACACAAACA